CUCCUGAUAGCUCAGUUGGUAGAGCGAUGGACUGUAAUUGAAAUAUAGUAAAUCCACAGGUCGCGUGUUCGACUCACGCUCGGGAGA
Molecule: non-coding RNA, 87 nt
Organism: Xylaria sp. FL0064
Lineage: Eukaryota; Fungi; Ascomycota; Sordariomycetes; Xylariales; Xylariaceae
Source: the annotation of a GenBank genome assembly